Molecule: RNA transcript, 5592 nt
Organism: Daktulosphaira vitifoliae (grape phylloxera)
Lineage: Eukaryota; Metazoa; Arthropoda; Insecta; Hemiptera; Phylloxeridae
Exons: 2
Source: RefSeq, a predicted model, not a curated record
AUUAUUAUAAUAUUAUUUGAUAUUAUUGGUUUUCUUAUUAUUUUUUUUAAAUCCACUUAUGGUCCGGGUGUUGUUUCUUUUUAUGAUCAAGACCCUCGCUUAAGUGGUUGGCGACCCGAUUUCCUUUUGCAAGGGAGCCAUGAGGGUGGCGACUUCACAAUCCAUUACGUGGCCCAAGUCGUCACCUCUCAAUGUGUUAAAUAACUUAAAUAAAGCAUCACAAUUUAUAGUUUAAAUCUCUAAGAUUGUGAGAUCUUGAAAAAUAAAUUCUAUGUUUUAAGGCCAUAAUAUUUAACAAUAAGUUUUUUAGAUUGCUAGGUGAUCUACACCGAUGUAGAUUAUAAAUUAUAUUGAAAAGUAAACAUUCCCACAUUUCUAACAAUCAAUAGGGUCUAUUUGACCUUUGUGUUCUGCUUCUUUUUUAAUAGAAGAAUCAUGAUGCAUUUUUUCAAAAUACUACCUUUAUGUUUAUAACUGAACACCCUGUAUAAAUACAAAGGCAUCUUUGUUGAGCUGAAUUAACUAUUUAUAAACUACACAAAAAAUCAGCAGCAGCAGGUAAAUAUAUUGAAAAUUGUAAAAAUGUGUUAAGGGUACUAAUAAAUAGUGCCAGUACGCACACUUUUAUUCUGAUCAUAAUCUAUUUAGAACGGUUCAUUGUAACAUUUUAACGAUGAAUCAUACGUAACACAUACUGAUUUGAUUAUAUUAAAACCUGAAAGUGAAUAUUUAAAGCCAUAUAGAGAAAUAUAAUAUUUUUUAAAUAAAAAACCAUUUUUAAUAAAAGCAAACAUCUAUUUACCCUAAAAUACAAUUCUAGUGAAAAUAGUAGUCGCUAAACGUAAUUAAAUAAAGAAGUAUAUCAGACAUGUAUUUAGAGGCGGUAUACUAAGGUAAUUGCCCCCGGUGUCAUUAUUUUAGCAGUAUUAAAAUUUUAAAAUUUUAAAAAUUUAAAAAUUAUUAGUUUUAAUUUUAGUUAUGUAAACUUAAUAGUUCAUUAAUUUAAAUUAUACGCUAUCACUUUUUCUUAUGAUGAUAGAGAUUGUGGAAUAUGAGCAGAAAUUUUGUAUGAAAAUUUUUCAUUCAUGUGUUAAACAUACUUGUUAAUUUUAAAAUGAAAUGAUAGUGUUAAAAAAAUGAGAAUGAUAAUAUAAAUAACUUAAACAAUACACUAUCAGAAAUAGAAAUAAAUAAAAAAUGUACGAAUUGGUAUAAUCUUAUUAGCCUUACGCAGUUAUUUUAGUCUACCGUAAUAAAAAUUUAUUUUUAAAAUCUAGAAUACCUAUGUAUGUAUUUUUGGGUAGAAUGGGGUAAAUAAUUUUUAGUAUGCGCUUUUUAAUCACCGAAAGGACCAAAAAUUACUCUAUUUUAUUAAAACAAUCAUAACUAAAAAAAAAAAAUUUUAAUGUUUUUUUUAUUAUUUAUAACUUUUACCUUAAUAAAAUUGAAAAAAAUUACAACGAAAGACCUUUUUUUCAUUAAAAUAACUAUAACAACAAUAAUCGUAAUAAAUAGCAACCGAUUUAACUAGAUAUUUUAUAUUUUGUUUAAGCUAUUUACUAGAAUUGAGUUUUCAUAAUUAUUUUAAUACUUUAAGUAGAUUUUAAAAUGAGGUUUAAGAGCUCCUAAAAUUUACUUUUACACUACUUAGUGUGUCUAGGAUUGAAAUUUAGGACAGGCUCAAUUAUGGUUAUUAUAAUUUGGACUUAUAGUACAGGCGCUCGUAAGUAAAAAUCAAUUGAAACCAAAUAAAGCUAUAUAUGUUACGUUUUAAUUUCAAUUGUAAACAAUAAAUAAUAUAAUUAUUUAAUUAAGAUAAAACAUGAUUUGUGGAACGGCGUUGAUCUAUUAAAUAUUUGUUUGCUAAAAAUUAAAAAUUUUGAUAAAUAUAGCAAAAAGCAGCUACCACCACUUUUUAGAAUGUAGUAUACUUAUUGCUAUAGGUGAUAUCAUGUUGGUAACAUUUGUUCACAGUUUAAAACACUAAAAAAGAGAGAAAAAGAGAAACAGUGUUUAUGGAUUCCCCACUAUUUCGCUUCGUAUUACUUUUCACGAACAUCAGAUUUUUACUAAACGUCUACACAACGAUUCUACAGCAUUUGUUAUGGCACCCCUGUUGAGUUAUGUCCUCUGCUCGCUCUUUAUACUUGGAAAUUUUCAACGUAGUAACGAGAGGGUCAGAGCUGUCUAACAAACUCAGUGCAGCAUCUUCCAUUUUCUGUUACGUUCAAUGAGUUGGCGGGAAGGUCUACGUUCCUUUGUUAAUCGUUUUUAUAUUCUAAAUCCAUCUUAAGUACUUACAAAGAUGAUGAUAUUACAUUUUCAUUCUGAGUCGAAUUCCGAAUCUGAUAUAUCACUACUACUGGUCGUUACAGUUAAUACAGAUACAGAAGAGCUCGGCCAUACCCCACCAGUACCUGAAACAUAAUAACAUUAUUAAAUUAAAUUAAAAUAAAUGUUAAAAAACAAAAAUACAAGUUAGUCACAUCUAAAAUAUAUCAGUCAGAUUAAUUUCUCACUCGCAUCAUAACCAGUCGUAAAUUUAUUGCUCGCUUUGGCAUACCUUUUUACAAUUUGGGUGAUGCCACUCCUUAUUCCGUUUUCUAUGAACAAAAACAUAUCAUAGGUCGUUAAAAGUUCAAUCUCUACUUAAGUUAUUUUCAGCAUGGCAUCAAAUGAUAAACCAGGAGCGGUAUACAGGUUAUAACCUGUAGUAUAAACAGGGGUCUAGUCCAUAGGUUGAUAAUCAUAGGUCUCUGAAAAAUUAAUGAAAAUCACAAAGAAGGUGUACAUCCAAUUCAUUGUACCAAAUAACGUAAUCUUUUAAAGUUUGGAGGUUGAACUGCCGCCAAACAUUUUGAGCGUGUGCAUAAUCUUUUAGUGAAAUCUGUUUUUCUGUAAGUGAACUAAUAUAAAAAAUAUAUUCAUGAAUGAUAAUAUAUUAAAAUAUUAUUUAUAUACCAAGUUGUUUUGUACAGGGUCCGAAGUACACUCUAAGUGUAUCCAAAUCAAAUUCAAUUUAGAAAAUAAGUUUAAUUUAAUUCUAAGUGAAAAAUAUGUGAAAAUAAUACAAAAUCAAGAAUCAAUUUACUUUUGCUCGAUAUGACCACCUUUUGCCUUGACUAUGACUUUGAGACGGUCCAGGAACGAAUCGCAAGCUGUCCAAAUGUGAUUUGCAGGUAUUUUGGCCCACUCGCGGACAAUGGCUUUUUUUAACGCCUCUAGACUAGUGAAUUUUUUAGUUCGGACCUUGCUUUCUAAAAUGGCCCAAAGAGAAUAAUCCAUCGGAAGCCGAAAUCCCUAUCAACAACGCGAUCACGGUUUAAAUCAGAAGUUUUUAAUUUUUUCGUAGAUGUACUAACGUACUCCAAAUCGACUUCGAACGCAUGGUGGUUAUGCGGGUAUCGGUUACUAAUUUUACUCCGGGUUGUUCUGGUACUUCUUGUUUUACUGCCUUUGUGGCCACUGUACACUUUGUCACUCAUAAUUAAGUACUUUUGAAUAAAAUUUUUACAGUUAAAAAAUUUGAUAGAUAUUACCCCUUAAAUAACGAGACUGGAUACGAAAAAGAGUUUUAUUAUAAAAAUUAUUCUACAUUGGAGGAAUGCUCCCCUUUAAUAUACUCCCCUCACCUCAUCACACACUUUUCAACACGUUUUUUCCAUUGAUCUAAGCAGUGUUGGAAGUCUUUGGCGAGGACCUUUAGAAGCUUCGCUGUUUUUUGCUUAGCCGAUUUAAUAGACCCAAAUCGGGUUCCUUUCAAAGCAGAUUUAAUCUUUGGAAACAAAAAAAAAUCUGGCGAGUAUGGCGCGUGUUCGAGCACUGGAGUACAUUUAUCGGCCAAAUACCGCUUCACAAAUAGUUGCCGCGAACAACGCCACCAGUCGAAAAAAGUAAGUGCUAUGCGUUGGUUGGAUAAGGAACCGUGGUUCCGUGGGCAGUGGUCUAACGCUUCGCAACGCGUGUAUUCGGUUCGACAACAUAAUUUAGCUCGUGUUUACGUCGGGGUUGGCCAUUAGUUAUUUAUAAAGGUUCUACGUUUAUAGAUGCAGUGUUUGGAAUGCCACAGACUGUCUCAACAACGACGCCGGACAGAACAGCUUCUGGAGGAACGACAACGGGAACAGGAACAGGAGCUAAAUCCCUUAACGAAUAUAAAGCAGCUGCAAGAGAGGUUGGAACUAUGGGAGAACCACCAACAAAAAAAACUAAAACGGAAUUGCCUGGAACGGCUAAUGAGGCGGCUAGCGAUGCCGAUACUGGUAAUCCUAUUAUUGCAUUUGCUUCAAUACCCCGUCCUUUUGACUACGCUGUCGGGUACUCCGCGGUUUUUCUAAAAAACCAUCAAUUUGUUAGUUACGGAAUUGCGUGGCUUGUUAAGCCUGUUGGUGCGGACAUUGCUAGAGACAGUCAUUUUGCCUCCACCAGUUUAGCGGAAAUACCAGUCGAUAGAGUACAUUUGUAUUUAACAUAAGAAGAAAUAGCGCAAAUACCACGGGGCGAUCGGAUUGUAAAAGUUAAAUGCACGGUUGUUAUGCGAAAUCCCCGAACAGCGUUUGAAACCGCUUCAACUACAUCGUCGUCUUUGGCUACUUUAAAUCAAAAUAAAUUUGGUGUGUAUGCCGUAGGCUUGAAUGUAAAUACCACCGGAGUGAAUAGAUCGUAUACUUUUAACGCUACGGAGCCCAUGCAAGUGGACAAUAUAAAAAGCGAUAUGGACUAUAAAAAACAAUAUGAUGUUUGGUACGGUUCGCUGGAUAACGAUUCAUCUUUUACGGACACAUUACCAACUUAGUUUAUGAAUUUACCGUCUAUUUUGACACACUAUUACACUAUGUAUCACCGUCAAGUGAAAGGUGCUGCUGAAUUCACAUGGCAGCGUUUAAACAAAUACAUAAAUAAAUUUGACGCUAGCCACUACAUUGGAGAUCGUAUCGUGUACUACGAAUACGAACCAGAAUACGGUUAUCUGAGCGAACCAAUACCGCAUUUUGGAUCUUAUUUACAUCCCGACCAAAUCGCUUAUACGGAUAUUGGUAUAUCAGAGGGCGCCGCCGUUAAUAUAGUUACAAACAAAACGCCAACGGAAACAAACACAAGCAACAAAACGGCCCUAUACGAAUAUUCGUAUAUCACGACCACCUAUAGCGAAGAAUCUCGAACAUGGAAAAAAAUAAAAGAUACCAGAUACAUAGAUUUAUUAGAUUUGUCCGCUUAUUACCACAAGAAAACGGAUAGACGAAAUCCAAAAGCCCAACCAUCGUUACACGUUGGUAUAUACCCCGUUCCCAAAAUGACUACAACAGAAAACAGACUUAUUCCUUCAAAAUGGACAGAUGUAGAAGCGUUUUGGGACGUCGCAGUAGAGUGUACAGUGGCUUUUGGAAUGUCAAACGAUAUGUGUAGAGCUCAAAAACCCAAAGGGAAUUUCAAUGGGGCGGUACUUCUUUGGUUAACAAUCCUACGCUCAGCACGUGGAUGGAUAAAUAUGCUAUGACGACGUUAACUUAAAAUAGGUUAAAGAACAAUACAAAGUCAUUUCAAUGUCAUUUAAUUAUAAUAAUUGUAUUUUUAAUAAAGUGUUUACACAUA